This 468-nucleotide ribosomal RNA is filed under the name uncultured bacterium. RNAcentral's name for it is "partial 16S ribosomal RNA". It matches the Rfam family "Bacterial small subunit ribosomal RNA", at positions 28 to 507 of the family's 1533-position model. The record is from RNAcentral.
GACGAACGCUGGCGGCGUGCUUAACACAUGCAAGUCGAACGGAAAGGCCCUGCUUUUGUGGGGUGCUCGAGUGGCGAACGGGUGAGUAACACGUGAGUAACCUGCCCUUGACUUUGGGAUAACUUCAGGAAACUGGGGCUAAUACCGGAUAGGAGCUCCUGCUGCAUGGUGGGGGUUGGAAAGUUUCGGCGGUUGGGGAUGGACUCGCGGCUUAUCAGCUUGUUGGUGGGGUAGUGGCUUACCAAGGCUUUGACGGGUAGCCGGCCUGAGAGAGUGACCGGCCACAUUGGGACUGAGAUACGGCCCAGACUCCUACGGGAGUAAGCAGUGGGAAAUAUUGCACAAUGGGCGGAAGCCUGAUGCAGCAACGCCGCGUGCGGGAUGACGGCCUUCGGGUUGUAAUACGCUUUCGCCUGUGACGAAGCGUAAGUGACGGUAAUGGGUAAAGAAGCACCGGCUAACUACGUG